This 494-nucleotide ribosomal RNA is filed under the name uncultured bacterium. RNAcentral's name for it is "partial 16S ribosomal RNA". It matches the Rfam family "Bacterial small subunit ribosomal RNA", at positions 28 to 507 of the family's 1533-position model. The record is from RNAcentral.
GACGAACGCUGGCGGCGUGCUUAACACAUGCAAGUCGAACGGAAAGGCCUGCUUUCCCUUGUGGAUUGCGGGUACUCGAGUGGCGAACGGGUGAGUAACACGUGAGUGAUCUGCCCCCAACUUGGGUAUAAGCCUGGGAAACUGGGUCUAAUUCCCGAUAGGACUGCAGGGUGGUGCCUGUGGUGGAAAACGAUUUUCUAGUGGUUGGGGAUGAGCUCGCGGCCUAUCAGCUUGUUGGUGGGGUAAUGGCCUACCAAGGCGGCGACGGGUAGCCGGCCUGAGAGGGUGGACGGCCACAUUGGGACUGAGACACGGCCCAGACUCCUACGGGAGGCUGCAGUGGGGAAUAUUGCACAAUGGGCGGAAGCCUGAUGCAGCGACGCCGCGUGGGGGAUGACGGCCUUCGGGUUGUAAACUCCUUUCGACCGCGAGGAAGCCACCUGGUUGGAAGGGUGGUGACGGUAGUGGUAGAAGAAGCACCGGCUAACUACGUG